AAGUGGUAGGAGAGCGUUCUAUUUGCGUCGAAGGUAUACCGGUAAGGAGUGCUGGAGCGAAUAGAAGUGAGCAUGCAGGCAUGAGUAGCGAUAAUUAAUGUGAGAAUCAUUAACGCCGUAAACCCAAGGUUUCCUACGCGAUGCUCGUCAUCGUAGGGUUAGUCGGGUCCUAAGUCGAGUCCGAAAGGGGUAGACGAUGGCAAAUUGGUUAAUAUUCCAAUACCAACAUUAGUGUGCGAUGGAAGGACGCUUAGGGCUAAGGGGGCUAGCGGAUGGAAGUGCUAGUCUAAGGUUGUAGGAGGUUAUACAGGCAAAUCCGUAUAACAAUACUCCGAGAACUGAAAGGCUUUUUGAAGUCUUCGGAUGGAUAGAAGAACCCCUGAUGCCGUCGAGCCAAGAAAAGUUUCUAAGUUUAGCUAAUGUUGCCCGUACCGUAAACCGACACAGGUGGGUGGGAUGAGUAUUCUAAGGCGCGUGGAAGAACUCUCUUUAAGGAACUCUGCAAAAUAGCACCGUAUCUUCGGUAUAAGGUGUGGUUAGCUUCGUACUAGGAUUUGACUUCGAAAGCGAAGAAACUUACAACAAAGAGUCCCUCCCGACUGUUUACCAAAAACACAGCACUCUGCUAACUCGUAAGAGGAUGUAUAGGGUGUGACGCCUGCCCGGUGCUCGAAGGUUAAUUGAUGGGGUUAGCAUUAGCGAAGCUCUUGAUCGAAGCCCGAGUAAACGGCGGCCGUAACUAUAACGGUCCUAAGGUAGCGAAAUUCCUUGUCGGUUAAAUACCGACCUGCAUGAAUGGCGUAACGAGAUGGGAGCUGUCUCAAAGAGGGAUCCAGUGAAAUUGUAGUGGAGGUGAAAAUUCCUCCUACCCGCGGCAAGACGGAAAGACCCCGUGGACCUU
This 901-nucleotide ribosomal RNA is filed under the name Campylobacter jejuni. Its description in RNAcentral is "partial 23S ribosomal RNA". It matches the Rfam family "Bacterial large subunit ribosomal RNA", at positions 1223 to 2101 of the family's 2925-position model. The record is from RNAcentral. Lineage: Bacteria; Pseudomonadati; Campylobacterota; Epsilonproteobacteria; Campylobacterales; Campylobacteraceae.